Molecule: transfer RNA, 77 nt
Filed under: Dallia pectoralis (Alaska blackfish)
Lineage: Eukaryota; Metazoa; Chordata; Actinopteri; Esociformes; Umbridae
Description: tRNA-Ser
Source: RNAcentral
GACGGUAGUGUGAGGGUUAAGGCGUUGGAUUUGAAAUCCAAUGGGGUUUCCCCGCGCAGGUUCGAACCCUGCUCUCA